This 253-nucleotide ribosomal RNA is filed under the name uncultured bacterium. RNAcentral's name for it is "partial 16S ribosomal RNA". It matches the Rfam family "Bacterial small subunit ribosomal RNA", at positions 524 to 776 of the family's 1533-position model. The record is from RNAcentral.
UACGUAGGUCGCAAGCGUUGUCCGGAUUUACUGGGCGUAAAGAGCGCGCAGGCGGUCGUGCAAGUCGCGUGUGAAAGCCCCCGGCUCAACUGGGGAGGGUCACGCGAUACUGCUCGACUCGAAGGCAGGAGAGGGAAGUGGAAUUCCCGGUGUAGUGGUGAAAUGCGUAGAUAUCGGGAGGAACACCAGUGGCGAAGGCGACUUCCUGGCCUGUUCUUGACGCUGAGGCGCGAAAGCUAGGGUAGCAAACGGG